Molecule: ribosomal RNA, 643 nt
Filed under: Vibrio sp. HZDC15
Lineage: Bacteria; Pseudomonadati; Pseudomonadota; Gammaproteobacteria; Vibrionales; Vibrionaceae
Description: bacterial SSU rRNA
Rfam family: Bacterial small subunit ribosomal RNA
Source: RNAcentral
AGCCUGAUGCAGCCAUGCCGCGUGUAUGAAGAAGGCCUUCGGGUUGUAAAGUACUUUCAGCAGUGAGGAAGGCGGAUGCGUUAAUAGCGUAUUCGUUUGACGUUAGCUGCAGAAGAAGCACCGGCUAACUCCGUGCCAGCAGCCGCGGUAAUACGGAGGGUGCGAGCGUUAAUCGGAAUUACUGGGCGUAAAGCGCAUGCAGGUGGUGUGUUAAGUCAGAUGUGAAAGCCCGGGGCUCAACCUCGGAAUAGCAUUUGAAACUGGCACACUAGAGUACUGUAGAGGGGGGUAGAAUUUCAGGUGUAGCGGUGAAAUGCGUAGAGAUCUGAAGGAAUACCAGUGGCGAAGGCGGCCCCCUGGACAGAUACUGACACUCAGAUGCGAAAGCGUGGGGAGCAAACAGGAUUAGAUACCCUGGUAGUCCACGCCGUAAACGAUGUCUACUUGGAGGUUGUGGCCUUGAGCCGUGGCUUUCGGAGCUAACGCGUUAAGUAGACCGCCUGGGGAGUACGGUCGCAAGAUUAAAACUCAAAUGAAUUGACGGGGGCCCGCACAAGCGGGUGGAGCAUGUGGUUUAAUUCGAUGCAACGCGAAGAACCUUACCUACUCUUGACAUCCAGAGAACUUUCCAGAGAUGGAUUGG